Long non-coding RNA from Pan troglodytes (chimpanzee), 3095 nucleotides. RefSeq lists it as uncharacterized. Lineage: Eukaryota; Metazoa; Chordata; Mammalia; Primates; Hominidae. The transcript has 4 exons. The record is from RefSeq and is a predicted model, not a curated record.
AAAAAAAAAAGUUCGUCUUUUUUUUAAUCCAGUUAUCAAACUUGUGUAAAAAUAAGAAAGUAUACCCUUAAAUAGAAUUGUGCCCUGGAAGGAACCCAGAUGGCUCUCUUGAGAUUAAAAUAGUCAUCCCAGCCGGGCACGGUGGCUCAUGCCUGUAAUCCCAGCACUUUGGGAAGCCAAGGCAGCAGGACUGCUUGAGGCCAGGAGUUUGAGACCAGCCUGGCCAACAUGGUGAAACCCCCUCUUUACUAAAAAUAACAAAAAUUAGCUGGGAGUGGUGGUGGGUGCCUGUAAUCCCAGCGACUCGGGAGGCUGAGGCAGGACAAUCACCUGAACCCAAGAGGCGGAGGUUGCAGUGAGCCGAGAUCACACCAUUGCACUCCAGCCUGGGCAACAAGAGCGAAACUCUGUCUCAAAAAAAAAAAAAAAGAAAAAAAAAAACUUAAGGACAUCAUUCUCAGUUUUUUUUAAAGGGUACUAGUUUUAGUUUUGAUUUACCAAUUUAUGUUUCCGAGACGUUUUUUCAAUUAAGUGAGUCAUUUUUGAACUAUUGUGAGGCACUCAUUCUAAUUUAAUGGCUCUCAGUUUACAGGAACAUAACAUUUGAUGCCAAUGAAAUUCAUUAGAAUUCUGCGCUAUCCUGUGAACGGCGUGCCCAUCUGUCUUGUAUGUGUUUCCAGGGGUGGCUUACGAUGGUCUUCGCCAUGUACUGGAUGGACGUGUACUUAUUAUCAAUACUCACACCCUGAGACCCAAGAGGAUCCCUCGUAAAACAAGGCCAUAUCUGAUUUGGAUUAAAAUCCCCACGGAGAACCUGAUGUCACCCAGGAAAGUGCACGUCUACUUGCGUGCUCUUGAGAAACAGUUGAGAAAACAGUCCUUCCAGCUCAGUAAAUACCAUUUUGUUUCUGUCUGCUCACCACCCUUGCAUUUGCAAUAAACCUGACAAAAACUUCCAGAGCGAAAAUAAGAAUGUUCAUAUUUGAAGGAGAUGUUGGCAGACGGCCACAGACUUCAAGUACGCAAGCUCAUUCCGCUCUUGCUUUUCUGCCAAUAACUCCUUGGCCUCCGCGCACUCUGCACAGGCAGGGCCUGAGGACGGAUCAUGAUCGUGUCCGAUGAUCACGGACCCGCCGGAGACUCUCAAUGGAGAGGCGAUGAGUCACAGCCAAGCGAACUUUCUCUGCUCCUGAACAAAUUGCUUCUCCUCGUCGUCCCACUCCAAACCUAGAGGUGGGACAACCCCAGCAUCCUGGGCGUGAACGCACCCAGCUUGAUUGUCACAUGGGGAAUAGAGACCUCGCGCCUGCCUGGCAUAGGCCAACCCAGUAAUGUUCAUUUAAAGCUGGCUUUACUAGUCCUUCUUCCACAAUGAGAGGUGACCCUUCACUUCACCGAGAAAGGAAGGAAGAAAGCGUAAUAUUUCAUCGCGUGAAGAGGCCAUGAUUUCUCCGUUCCGCUGAGGAUCGCUUGAGCUGUUUCCAGUUUGGGGCGCGAUGAACAAUGCCGCAGUGAGGAUUCUUGUCAGUGCUGGCGUAUCUCAUGAUGGAGUUUCACUCUUGUCUCCCAGGCUGUGGGUGCAAUGGGAGAAACAGGAAAACUUUGAAGAAUCUUCCAGAUUUGCCUAACGCAGAUGUGCAUGACCUGACAAGAUAGAUGUGCCAUUUGGACCCUUUCAAGAGCAGACAGAAGGGAAGGGAGGUAAUACGGAUCAAUUACAGAUGUGGGUUGCUUUAUUUAUUUAUUUUUUUUUUGAGGUGGAGUCUCACUCUGUUACCAAAGCUGGAGUGCAGUGGUACAAUCUCAGCUCACUGCAACCUCCGCCUCUUGGGUUCAAGUGAUUCUCCUGCCUCAGCCUCCCAAGUAGCUGGGAUUACAGGCGUGUGCCACCACGCCUGGCUAAUUUUGUAUUUUUAGCAGGGACGGGGUUUCACUAUGUUGGCCAGGCUGGUCUUGAACUCCUGACCUCAGGUGAUCUGCCCAACUCGCACUCCCGAAGUGCUGGGAUUACAGGCGUGAACCACCGUGCCCAGCCUGUGUGUUGCUUAUUGACACCUGAGAAAGUCAACAUAAGGCAAUUCCGUCAUUGUAUGAACAUCACAGGGUGCACUUACACAGACCUAGAUGGCACAGCCUACCACACACCUAGGCCACAUGGUGUAACCUAUUGCUCCUAUGCUACCAACCUGUACAGCUUGUUACCCCACUGAAUACUGUAGGCAACUGCAACAAAAUGGUAAGUGAUUGUGUAUCUAAACACUUCUUUAUCAUUAUUAUUAUACCUUAAGUCCUAGGGUACAUGUGCACAAUGUGCAGGUUUGUUACGUAAGUAUACAUGUGCCAUGUUGGUUUGCUGUACCCAUUAACUCGUCAUUUACAUUAGGUAUUUCUCCUAAUGCUAUCCCUCCCGCCUCCCCCCGCCCCAUGACAGACCCCGGUGUGUGAUGUUAUCUGCCCUGUGUCCAAGUGUUCUCAUUGUUCAAUUCCCACCUAUGAGUGAGAACAUGCAGUGUUUGGUUUUCUGUCCUUGUGACAGUUUGCUCAGAAUGAUGGUUUCCAGCUUCAUCCAUGUCCCUGCAAAGGACAUGACCUCCUCCUUUUUUAUGGCUGUAUAGUAUUCCAUGGUGUGUAUGUGCCUCAUUUUCUUAAUCCAGUCUAUCAUUAAUGGACAUUUGGGUUGGUUCCGAGUUUUUGCUAUUGUGAAUAGUGCCACAAUAAACAUACGUGUGCAUGUGUCUUUAUAGUAGCAUGAUUUAUAAUCCUUUGGGUAUAUACCCAGUAAUGGGAUGGCUGGGUCAAGUGGUAUUUCUAGUUCUAGAUCCUUGAGGAAUCGCCACACUGUCUUCCACAAUGGUUGAACUAGUUUACACUCCCACCAACAGUGUAAAAGCAUUCCUAUUUCUCCACAUCCUCUCCAGCAUCUGUUGUUUCCUGACUUUUUAAUGAUCGCCAUUCUAAAUGGUGUGAGAUGGUAUCUCAUUGUGGUUUUGAUUUGCAUUUCUCUGAUGACCAAACACUUCUAAACAUAAAAAAUGCACAGCACAAAUACAGUAUAAAAGAUUAAAAAUGGGCCGCACAGUGGCUCACGCCUGUAA